UGGGGAAUCUUGCGCAAUGGGCGAAAGCCUGACGCAGCAACGCCGCGUGAGCGAAGACGGCCUUCGGGUUGUAAAGCUCUGUCAGGAGGGACGAAGCCACUCAGGUGAAUAGCCGAGAGGGUGACGGUACCUCCAGAGGAAGCCCCGGCUAACUACGUGCCAGCAGCCGCGGUAAUACGUAGGGGGCGAGCGUUGUUCGGAAUCAUUGGGCGUAAAGCGCGUGUAGGCGGCCAUCCAAGUCCGGUGUGAAAGCUCGGGCUCAACCCCGGAGUCUGCACUGGAAACUGGAUGGCUUGAUCCGGAAGAGGAGACUGGAAUUCCUGGUGUAGCGGUGAAAUGCGCAGAUAUCAGGAAGAACACCGGUGGCGAAGGCGGGUCUCUGGGACGGUACUGACGCUGAGACGCGAAAGCGUGGGGNGCAAACAGGAUUAGAUACCCUGGUAGUCCACGCCGUAAACGAUGGGCACUAGGUGUGGGAGGUGUCGACUCCUUCCGUGCCGUAG
This 503-nucleotide ribosomal RNA is filed under the name uncultured bacterium. RNAcentral's name for it is "partial 16S ribosomal RNA". It matches the Rfam family "Bacterial small subunit ribosomal RNA", at positions 355 to 851 of the family's 1533-position model. The record is from RNAcentral.